Molecule: transfer RNA, 72 nt
Filed under: Candidatus Aenigmatarchaeota archaeon
Lineage: Archaea; Nanobdellati; Candidatus Aenigmatarchaeota
Description: tRNA-Val
Rfam family: tRNA
About the family: Transfer RNA (tRNA) molecules are approximately 80 nucleotides in length. Their secondary structure includes four short double-helical elements and three loops (D, anti-codon, and T loops).
Source: RNAcentral
GGGCUCGUGGUCCAGUGGUAAGACGUCUCCCUCACGCGGAGAAGAUCAUCGGUUCAAUUCCGGUCGGGCCCA